CAGCAGCCGCGGGAAUACGAGGGGGGCAAGCGUUGUUCGGAAUUAUUGGGCGUAAAGGGCGCGUAGGCGGUUUGGCAAGUUUGGUGUGAAAUCUUCGGGCUCAACUCGAAGUCUGCACCGAAAACUGCCGGGCUUGAGUAUGGGAGAGGUGAGUGGAAUUUCCGGUGUAGCGGUGAAAUGCGUAGAUAUCGGAAGGAACACCUGUGGCGAAAGCGGCUCACUGGACCAUUACUGACGCUGAGGCGCGAAAGCUAGGGGAGCAAACAGGAUUAGAUACCCGCGUAGUCCCUGUCUCUUAUAA
RNAcentral lists this ribosomal RNA (301 nucleotides) under uncultured bacterium. RNAcentral describes it as "partial 16S ribosomal RNA". It matches the Rfam family "Bacterial small subunit ribosomal RNA", at positions 509 to 809 of the family's 1533-position model. The record is from RNAcentral.